AAGUCUUUUCUAAUUGUGUAAUAGUUUGUAUAUCUGUUAAUCAUAUGUUUAUCUAAUUUUAGAAAUAAGCAUUUAUUUAUGUAGCUAUUUUCUACUUGAAAACUACAUCGUUUUAGUAAUAUAUUUUCUACAGUAGCCAAAAUUGGAACUGGAAGAAGUCUGAGGUGCAUUAGAAUGUGAAUCUAGGACUUGCUAAAGGUAGAUAAACAGUUCAUCCUUGAUUUUUGUAAUUCAUAUGUGUGAUUAUAUGUCUUCUAAUGUAUUGCAUUAAAUAUGUCAAAAUGCAUUUUUCUGCAAAGGAGUAGGCUUAAUGUUAGAUAUACAGAAUGGAAAUUAAAAGCUGUGCAUGGUAUAGUACGGUAUAGCAAACAUGCAAAGCUACAACCACCAUCAUGAGAAUGUGGAUGUCACUGUCACAAGUAUUACAAAUACACACGCACACAACACACACACACACACACACACACACACACAGAGUCUACAGAAGUUAUAAGUAAUAUAGCCCUAAUUUCUAGGAAAUGUUUAUCAUUAGCAGAGGGAUUUGCAUUUACUGAUACUAGGUCAUGGUCAUAAGCUGCACACACAUAUAUGUAUAUCUACACAUUCACACACACAAACUCAUCCUCACACACUAUUUGUAGAUAGAGUUUAGCAUGUUAUUUGUUAAAAAUUCAGGAACAGAACUAUUUGGUGUUUAAAAUGUUAUCUCAAGGCCAGGAAGAAGCCUCUCUUUUUAAUCACAUUCGCUAUGAUUUACCCGUUGUCCGGUCUUUAUGUGAACAUUCUCUAUUAGCGUUUUUCCUUUUUAAUUUUUUCUUCAUUUAAAGAGACAGAGUUACUUUUAGGAGCUGAUGAUAUCCACCCCGUCCCAUGGUUUUUCUUACUGACUUUUUGGACUGCCAAUAAUGAAUAAUAAAGAUAAUUAUCUUCAUUCUCCCCAUUCAUUCUUCCCUGAAAUCAAAAACCCUUCCUUUAAAAGUACAAAGCAGAGAUGCAUUUCAAUGACAUACAGUUCUGCUCAGAGUCUUAAAAUGUUAUGUCAACUUCAGUUCUCUCUCAAAUGCUCAACUAGCAUAGAAGUUUAUUUCUCAAAGAACUAAGCAACUCUUCUCAAGACCAUCCAUGUGAUGGAUUACAAGAGGAUUACAGUUCACUCAAAGGUAAGCCUUUUUUCAUUUAUGUUCAAAUUAAGUCAGUGUUCAUAAGUAACUAGAAAAUGACUCACCUUCUCACGAAACUUUAUCAUUAGCAGGAGUAUACUUUAUAUUCAAUGCCAGAGGUCGUUUGCAGAUCCAUUCUUAACUAUGCCAAACCCCUUACAACGCAGGUGGAAGGAAAGUAUCAUGUGAAGAGAAAGAGGAAGAAAGCAAUGAGAGAAUGCCAGGCUUUCUGAGAUGGAUGGAAAUGAGACUGACUGUAACCACGUUCAGCUGCUGACAGUGUAAAAUUGAGCUGUAUGGUGGACAGAAGACAAGCAGUCAAGAGAAAUCCCCAAAGGUAAAAUUUGUUAUG
Mus pahari (shrew mouse) is the source of this 1512-nucleotide long non-coding RNA. RefSeq lists it as uncharacterized. The transcript has 3 exons. The record is from RefSeq and is a predicted model, not a curated record. NCBI's taxonomy places the organism in Eukaryota, Metazoa, Chordata, Mammalia, Rodentia, Muridae.